CUGUCCAACCAGUAGGGCCUGCGGGGAGCACGAGGCUAUCGUGCGUCAUUAUGAUCUCAGAUCCUGUCUUGGCUUCAGUUGCAUUGCGGGUCUGAAGAGAACGCCCACGCCAGGCCAGGCCAGGCCAGGCCAGAGGAGCACCGGUUAAAGUUCAGACCGGCUCUGGUCAAGUUCAGGCUGGUUCUGCUCAAAAAAAGACCUUCCCUUUCACGGAGGCUGAUUCAAACUGUCUUGCAAAGGACGCGGGCCAAGAAUCCAUGGGGUGGGGUGGGGGUGGGGGUGGGGGGCAGGACAGAAACAUUCUUUAACUCCAUGUUCCUUUUUUGGGGUAUGGGAUCUUUGUUGUCUUCUUUUUUUGGCAUGCGCUAUCCAGAGAAAAUCGUUUUACAAGAAGGGCCCGAGUUUUCUGUUUUUCUUGCUUCCUAUUUUGAUGUGUCAUCCUGGCUGCCUAGGAGGAAAUGCUGUCAAAAAUUGUACAUGCUGUUUCCAACCCUUUAUUUCUUAACUCGCUUAUUAUCAUCUCGUAUCUGGGAGAGAGGCCAGACCAGUCCUGUAGCCCGUGUCAGAGCCCAGAGCUGCUCCCUCCUUCCUGUCUUGGUGACUUUGCUGUGCCUGUGACAGCGCCCCCCCCCCCCUUCCCCCGCCGUGUGCAUCUGGUGUUCCUGCCUUGGCUUGAUACUCUGUCCACAACCUGUUCCCAGCUGUUUCCCAGCACAGCACCCUGAACAGCAUAGAUGCGUUUAACUGAACAGCAGUAGCUCUGUGAACUUAAAGAACAUUGAGCAGUCAGGAUCGUUGCAUUGCUACAUUGGCGCUCCUUUUUGUUAAUGCUUGUGAUCCCAUCGUAAUCUUACGGAGGACUUUCCUGUGUCUUUGGCUCUCCGAAUAACCUUGUGAAGGCGAUAGAGCAGAGUGACUCCUUGACCAAAUAAUUUUGAGUCGAUUGUAACUUUUCACCCUUGCAACUAAGUCCGUUAAUCACAAAAUGGUAAAUCAGAAACCACAAAGAAGAACAUCGUCCAGGAAACUGGGGGAUGCUAAGACGUGAAAGACGGAUAUGGCUGUUUCUGCUCCUAGCCUCAAAAAGAAAAGGUUGUAGCUCAUCUUUGCCAGCUUACCUGACUACUUCUAAGCAAAGGAGAUAAUGAAAUAUUAUUAGUUAGUGAGUUCAGUCACAUGAAGCGGAAUGCUCAAAUAACUGUGACUCCAGAAGAUGCGCUUUAUGGAUGGAAAAUUUCCAGGGAAACCAUUUCUCUUUAUCUGAAGGAUAUCCCGGCCCCUCAGGGGAAUUGGAUUACAUGUCAAAACACCCAGAGAUAUACAGAGCACUGAAGGAACAGCAAGUCUGGGAUGCCAAUUAGGAAGCCAAUUUUGUGCACCUUACAUGUAAGCUGCCCUUUCAACAUCCAGGCGGAGAUGUAAGCCUGCCAGUUGCAUAUAAAAGUCUGGCAUGGAAGGACAAAGUCAGGACUGAGAUAGAAAACCCAGGGUCAGCACACAGAUGAUUUUUAGCACCAUGAUGGUUCACCUAUGGAGUGAGUUACAGAAGAGAAGAGACGUAAGGCUUGAGAUCUAGGAAACUCUGAUGUUUAGACUCAGAAGGGAUGAGGAGGAACCAGCAAAGGAGUAUGAGAAGAGCAGCCAUUGAGCAGGAGAAGGAGAGAGUGGGGUCCAAUCAGCAGGGUGAAUUGUUUCUGGGAAGAGGGUGUCAUUAACUGUGUCAAAUGCUGCAGACAAGUAGGAUGACAUCAAGUAAGAUGUGGAGGUCAUCAUUGGCAUCGGUAAGAGUUGUCAGGUGGGAUGAUAGAAACGGAAGCUCAUUUGAACGCCCCAAGAAAGAAUGAGAGAGAACAAGCUGGAAACAGCAAGAUGGACAACUCUUUCUAUGAGCUUUGCUGGAAGAGGGAGCUGAGCAAUGGAGCAGUAUUUAGAGGGACAUAUGGAUUCAGGAGAGGUUUUUAAUUAUUUU
Leopardus geoffroyi (Geoffroy's cat) is the source of this 1969-nucleotide long non-coding RNA. RefSeq lists it as uncharacterized. Lineage: Eukaryota; Metazoa; Chordata; Mammalia; Carnivora; Felidae. The record is from RefSeq and is a predicted model, not a curated record. The transcript has 5 exons.